Molecule: ribosomal RNA, 580 nt
Filed under: uncultured Lysobacteraceae bacterium
Lineage: Bacteria; Pseudomonadati; Pseudomonadota; Gammaproteobacteria; Lysobacterales; Lysobacteraceae
Description: bacterial SSU rRNA
Rfam family: Bacterial small subunit ribosomal RNA
Source: RNAcentral
GAGUUUGAUCCUGGCUCAGAUUGAACGCUGGCGGCAUGCCUAACACAUGCAAGUCGAGCGGCAGCGCGGGGGCAACCCUGGCGGCGAGCGGCGGACGGGUGAGUAAGGCAUCGGAAUCUGCCCUGAUGUGGGGGAUAACGUAGGGAAACUUACGCUAAUACCGCAUACGACCGAGAGGUGAAAGCGGGGGACCGAAAGGCCUCGCGCAGCAGGAUGAGCCGAUGUCCGAUUAGCUGGUUGGUGGGGUAAUGGCCUACCAAGGCGACGAUCGGUAGCUGGUCUGAGAGGAUGAUCAGCCACACUGGGACUGAGACACGGCCCAGACUCCUACGGGAGGCAGCAGUGGGGAAUAUUGGACAAUGGGGGCAACCCUGAUCCAGCAAUGCCGCGUGUGUGAAGAAGGCCUUCGGGUUGUAAAGCACUUUUAUCGGGAGCGAAACGCGCCGGGUUAAUACCUUGGCGAACUGACGGUACCCGAGGAAUAAGCACCGGCUAACUCCGUGCCAGCAGCCGCGGUAUUACGGAGGGUGCAAGCGUAAUCGGAGUUACUGGGCGUAAAGCGUGCGUAGGCGGUAAGUUA